GCAUCGGUGGUUUAGUGGUAAAAUUAGCCGUUGCCAAAUCUGUUCUUCACAGCAGACCGCAACAUCGGCUAGCCCCGGGUUCGAUUCCCGGCCGAUGCA
Polyplosphaeria fusca is the source of this 99-nucleotide non-coding RNA. The record is from the annotation of a GenBank genome assembly. Lineage: Eukaryota; Fungi; Ascomycota; Dothideomycetes; Pleosporales; Tetraplosphaeriaceae.